AGAAUCAACGCUGGCGGCGUGCCUAACACAUGCAAGUCGCACGAGAAAGGGUAGCAAUACCUGAGUACAGUGGCGCACGGGUGAGUAGCACGUGAAUUAUCUACCUCCGAGUGGGGAAUAACUGAGAGAAAUCUUAGCUAAUACCGCAUAACACUUACGAGUCAAAGCAGCAAUGCGCUUGGAGAGGAGUUCGCGGCAGAUUAGUUAGUUGGCGGGGUAAUGGCCCACCAAGACGAUGAUCUGUA
Molecule: ribosomal RNA, 245 nt
Filed under: uncultured bacterium
Lineage: Bacteria
Description: partial small subunit ribosomal RNA
Rfam family: Bacterial small subunit ribosomal RNA
Source: RNAcentral